This 1817-nucleotide ribosomal RNA is filed under the name Staphylococcus aureus. RNAcentral's name for it is "partial 23S ribosomal RNA". It matches the Rfam family "Bacterial large subunit ribosomal RNA", at positions 12 to 1827 of the family's 2925-position model. Lineage: Bacteria; Bacillati; Bacillota; Bacilli; Caryophanales; Staphylococcaceae. The record is from RNAcentral.
UAAGGGCGCACGGUGGAUGCCUUGGCACUAGAAGCCGAUGAAGGACGUUACUAACGACGAUAUGCUUUGGGGAGCUGUAAGUAAGCUUUGAUCCAGAGAUUUCCGAAUGGGGAAACCCAGCAUGAGUUAUGUCAUGUUAUCGAUAUGUGAAUACAUAGCAUAUCAGAAGGCACACCCGGAGAACUGAAACAUCUUAGUACCCGGAGGAAGAGAAAGAAAAUUCGAUUCCCUUAGUAGCGGCGAGCGAAACGGGAAGAGCCCAAACCAACAAGCUUGCUUGUUGGGGUUGUAGGACACUCUAUACGGAGUUACAAAGGACGACAUUAGACGAAUCAUCUGGAAAGAUGAAUCAAAGAAGGUAAUAAUCCUGUAGUCGAAAAUGUUGUCUCUCUUGAGUGGAUCCUGAGUACGACGGAGCACGUGAAAUUCCGUCGGAAUCUGGGAGGACCAUCUCCUAAGGCUAAAUACUCUCUAGUGACCGAUAGUGAACCAGUACCGUGAGGGAAAGGUGAAAAGCACCCCGGAAGGGGAGUGAAAUAGAACCUGAAACCGUGUGCUUACAAGUAGUCAGAGCCCGUUAAUGGGUGAUGGCGUGCCUUUUGUAGAAUGAACCGGCGAGUUACGAUUUGAUGCAAGGUUAAGCAGUAAAUGUGGAGCCGUAGCGAAAGCGAGUCUGAAUAGGGCGUUUAGUAUUUGGUCGUAGACCCGAAACCAGGUGAUCUACCCUUGGUCAGGUUGAAGUUCAGGUAACACUGAAUGGAGGACCGAACCGACUUACGUUGAAAAGUGAGCGGAUGAACUGAGGGUAGCGGAGAAAUUCCAAUCGAACCUGGAGAUAGCUGGUUCUCUCCGAAAUAGCUUUAGGGCUAGCCUCAAGUGAUGAUUAUUGGAGGUAGAGCACUGUUUGGACGAGGGGCCCCUCUCGGGUUACCGAAUUCAGACAAACUCCGAAUGCCAAUUAAUUUAACUUGGGAGUCAGAACAUGGGUGAUAAGGUCCGUGUUCGAAAGGGAAACAGCCCAGACCACCAGCUAAGGUCCCAAAAUAUAUGUUAAGUGGAAAAGGAUGUGGCGUUGCCCAGACAACUAGGAUGUUGGCUUAGAAGCAGCCAUCAUUUAAAGAGUGCGUAAUAGCUCACUAGUCGAGUGACACUGCGCCGAAAAUGUACCGGGGCUAAACAUAUUACCGAAGCUGUGGAUUGUCCUUUGGACAAUGGUAGGAGAGCGUUCUAAGGGCGUUGAAGCAUGAUCGUAAGGACAUGUGGAGCGCUUAGAAGUGAGAAUGCCGGUGUGAGUAGCGAAAGACGGGUGAGAAUCCCGUCCACCGAUUGACUAAGGUUUCCAGAGGAAGGCUCGUCCGCUCUGGGUUAGUCGGGUCCUAAGCUGAGGCCGACAGGCGUAGGCGAUGGAUAACAGGUUGAUAUUCCUGUACCACCUAUAAUCGUUUUAAUCGAUGGGGGGACGCAGUAGGAUAGGCGAAGCGUGCGAUUGGAUUGCACGUCUAAGCAGUAAGGCUGAGUAUUAGGCAAAUCCGGUACUCGUUAAGGCUGAGCUGUGAUGGGGAGAAGACAUUGUGUCUUCGAGUCGUUGAUUUCACACUGCCGAGAAAAGCCUCUAGAUAGAAAAUAGGUGCCCGUACCGCAAACCGACACAGGUAGUCAAGAUGAGAAUUCUAAGGUGAGCGAGCGAACUCUCGUUAAGGAACUCGGCAAAAUGACCCCGUAACUUCGGGAGAAGGGGUGCUCUUUAGGGUUAACGCCCAGAAGAGCCGCAGUGAAUAGGCCCAAGCGACUGUUUAUCAAAAACACAGGUCUCUGCU